Long non-coding RNA from Bombus pyrosoma, 822 nucleotides. RefSeq lists it as uncharacterized. Lineage: Eukaryota; Metazoa; Arthropoda; Insecta; Hymenoptera; Apidae. The record is from RefSeq and is a predicted model, not a curated record. The transcript has 5 exons.
CAACUUCAUAGUUAACUUCAGCAUCAGGUCGACAGCUUUCAGUGCACGACCGAUGAUGUCAUCCGUGUUCAGGCAGACCGGUAAUAAGAAGCUUGAUGUGGUGAUCAAGCCUCAAGCGUUUACCAUAACUCGNAAGAACUGAAAGAUAUGACAUAGAAGUUUUUAUGAUACUCAUGUACGUUUCCAUAUUAACAACGAGGAAUUGUCCGGCUCUCAGGAAAACUGGCUCUUGAGCUCUCAUAAUGACAUAAAUAAUGUCUUUUGCCACACUUUUCGGUAUAUCGUACCAGCUGCAGAAAUACAUCGAGUCACCGAUGCCUUCCAUUUGACGCUUUAAAUAUUCGCCCACGUAGCUUACUCAGAGCGAGAAUGAAUUGAAGUCCUAAAAAUAGAUGCAAAUUAUCCCAACACAUUGAUCGUAUUUAAAUAAACAUUUUCCAUCGGGCUUCGUGCCAUUUUAUGGAAUGAGGUAAGAAUGUUCACCGCUUGUACAAAUAAGUAUACAACUCGUGAAUAGUUGCAUAACCAAGAUGGAGCUGAUGAUCUCGAUCAGCAUAUUGGCCAGGUUAAUUAAUUUCAGAAUUUCUACCUGACCGCACAGAUGAAAAGUGAUACCGAAAAACAACGAAUCGCUUCCUAAUUUAUAUUUUAAAAUAAAUGAGUAGAAUUCUUAAACUACCCUGAAGUUAACUAACGUGACUUCUGACAAUGUGUAAAUCGUAAGACACGACGAUACAUUACCUAGAUUCCCAGUGCUCGUGAAUAUCAGCAUCAAGUAUUCUACGAUAUAAACAAGGAAGUAUAAAUUUUCCGGUAUUUUUA